This 773-nucleotide ribosomal RNA is filed under the name uncultured Neocallimastigales. RNAcentral describes it as "partial large subunit ribosomal RNA". It matches the Rfam family "Eukaryotic large subunit ribosomal RNA", at positions 23 to 640 of the family's 3401-position model. The record is from RNAcentral. Lineage: Eukaryota; Fungi; Neocallimastigomycota; Neocallimastigomycetes; Neocallimastigales.
AGAGAUGUGUGAUGACGCAUAUCAAUAAGCGGAGGAAAAGAAACUAACAAGGAUUCCCUUAGUAACGGCGAGUGAAGCGGGAGGAGCUCAAAUUUGAAAUCUUCAAGGUUCUACCUUGACGAAUUGUAGUUUAUAGAAGUGUUUUCUGUUAGUAGAGUGGCAAAAGUUCUUUGGAAUAGGACAUCAUAGAGGGUGAGAAUCCCGUAUUUGGUCAUUCUUUCUAGCUUUGUGAUACACUUUCAACGAGUCGGAUUGUUUGGAAUGCAGUCCAAAAUGGGUGGUAAAUUUCAUCUAAAGCUAAAUAUUGGCGAGAGACCGAUAGCGAACAAGUACCGUGAGGGAAAGAUGAAAAGAACUUUGAAAAGAGAGUUAAACAGUACGUGAAAUUGUCAAAAGGGAAGCGUUUGACACCAGUGUUGUUUUUCCGAAAAUCAAUUACGAAUGUUUUAUUUUUGAGGAGUUAUGACUUCAUCGGCUUGCUCCUUUCUUUAUGAAACUUUCUUAAUGCACUUUUCGGUUAACAAGUCAACAUCAAUUUCUUUUGUUGUAAAAGAGUAUUGGGAAGGUGGCUUUCUUUUCGGAGAAAGUGUUUAUAGCCCUUUACUUCUGCAAUCGGAGAGAUUGAGGUCUGCAGCGUAGAUCCUUCGGGGUUAGAUACAUUUGUGCUAAGCUAUAGCUUUUCAUAGACAACUUGUUGAUUAUGAUUAGUCUUGUAGCUUACUCGCUUAUGCUAUUUUACCUACGCUUAGGAUGUUGACAGCAGUAUAGACUGU